RNAcentral lists this transfer RNA (68 nucleotides) under Pachyneuron aphidis. RNAcentral's name for it is "tRNA-Leu". Lineage: Eukaryota; Metazoa; Arthropoda; Insecta; Hymenoptera; Pteromalidae. The record is from RNAcentral.
UUUAUUUUGACAGAUUAGUGUGAUAAAUUUAGAAUUUAUUAAAAUGUAUUAAUUAUACUUAAAUAAAA